This 253-nucleotide ribosomal RNA is filed under the name uncultured bacterium. Its description in RNAcentral is "partial 16S ribosomal RNA". It matches the Rfam family "Bacterial small subunit ribosomal RNA", at positions 524 to 776 of the family's 1533-position model. The record is from RNAcentral.
UACGGAGGGUGCAAGCGUUAUCCGGAUUCACUGGGUUUAAAGGGUGUGUAGGCGGGCAUUUAAGUCAGUGGUGAAAUCUCCAGGCUCAACCUGGAAACUGCCAUUGAUACUAUUUGUCUUGAAUCCUGUUGAGGUGGGCGGAAUAUAUCAUGUAGCGGUGAAAUGCUUAGAUAUGAUAUAGAACACCAAUUGCGAAGGCAGCUCGCUACACGAAUAUUGACUCUGAGGCACGAAAGCGUGGGGAUCAAACAGG